AGUGAACGCUGGCGGUAGGCCUAACACAUGCAAGUCGAACGGCAGCACAGUAAGAGCUUGCUCUUACGGGUGGCGAGUGGCGGACGGGUGAGGAAUACAUCGGAAUCUACUUUUUCGUGGGGGAUAACGUAGGGAAACUUACGCUAAUACCGCAUACGACCUACGGGUGAAAGCAGGGGAUCUUCGGACCUUGCGCGAUUGAAUGAGCCGAUGUCGGAUUAGCUAGUUGGCGGGGUAAAGGCCCACCAAGGCGACGAUCCGUAGCUGGUCUGAGAGGAUGGUCAGCCACACUGGAACUGAGACACGGUCCAGACUCCUACGGGAGGCAGCAGUGGGGAAUAUUGGACAAUGGGCGCAAGCCUGAUCCAGCCAUACCGCGUGUGUGAAGAAGGCCUUCGGGUUGUAAAGACCUUUUGUUGGGAAAGAAAAGCAGCAGGUUAAUACCCCGCUGUUCUGACGGUACCCAAAGAAUAAGCACCGGCUAACUUCGUG
Molecule: ribosomal RNA, 492 nt
Filed under: uncultured bacterium
Lineage: Bacteria
Description: partial 16S ribosomal RNA
Rfam family: Bacterial small subunit ribosomal RNA
Source: RNAcentral